GUUUCUACAGAACUAUACCUACUCUUAAACGCUCUUGUACCUCUUUUUGUUUCAUUCGCUGCUCUCAUCCCUAUUCUUCGCCAACCGCCUCUUGAACCUCUUCCACCAGAUGGAGUUCGACGAGAUUCUCUCAUGUUUCUCUUGCUUAACAUAUUAGCGGUCUUGAAUGGUGUUUAUCUGCUUCUCUUUCGUUCAAAGACUUCUGAUGUAACUUCAGCUCGUCUUCUCUUUGGUGGAUCAUUACUUCUCUUGAUUCUUCCUCUAUGCCUUCCUGGUCUAGUCUAUGCUCGUAAUUGGUAUCUACACAAUAUUCACUCCAGUUUUCGUCUAGAAGGUUCUGGUUUCAUUCUUGUUGAUGUUGAUGAGCUUGAGAUGCAUAAAGGAAUGGUGACACGUGAAGCCAGCCUUGAAGGCUACCAGUUGCUAAACGAUGAUGUAGUGCGAGCUGUCAAUACUCCUGAUCAGAAGAGUUUCAUUGAAGAUGACGACGGAUGUUGUUGCACUAAGCUUAUUACAAGAAAUCAGCUUGGGAUGCUUGGAGAAGAACAUCCUUUAUCUUUACUCUUAUGCAGAUCAGAUUUCUGGCUUUACUAUAUAGCCUACUUUUGCGGCGGCACGAUUGGGCUGGUUUAUAGCAACAACCUGGGACAGAUUGCACAAUCUUUAGGACAAAGCUCAGAGACAACAACUCUUGUAACGCUUUAUUCGUCUUUCUCAUUCUUUGGUCGAUUACUUUCAGCAACACCAGACUAUAUCAGAGCGUAAGUCCUCGCACAAGCAUUUGUAUUCCUCUGGUUCUGGCAUUGUGAAGAUUAUGAUGUUAUUGAAAUGUGAAUUGUGCAGGAAGGUUUAUUUUGCUAGAACAGGGUGGCUAGCCGUUGCUCUUUUACCAACCACAAUUGCUCUUUUCUUGUUGGCAUCAUCAGGAAGCUUGGCAGCGUUACAAGCAGGAACAGCUCUAAUCGGUCUAAGCUCGGGUUUCAUAUUUGCAGCAGCGGUUUCCAUAACAUCUGAGCUUUUUGGACCCAACAGUGUCGGGGUUAACCACAACAUCCUCAUCACAAACAUACCGAUAGGAUCAUUGGUCUAUGGGUUCUUAGCUGCUUUGGUCUAUGAAUCCCAUAGCGUGGCUGGCUCAAAGACAGAGUCGGUUAUAUGUAUGGGACGAGACUGUUACCUCCUAACGUUUGUGUGGUGGGGAUGCUUGUCGGUGAUUGGACUAGCUUCAAGUGUUGUCUUGUUUUUGAGAACUAGACGAGCCUAUCAACGUUUUGAACAAGAUCGGAUAACUUCAAGCAUGCUCUAUUCUUAGAAUUUUCUCCAAUGAGUUGGGUGUAAAAAUUGGAACUCAAACUUGUGCGGAGAUGUGUUAAGUGCACAGAAGUUUUGAUCUUUUUUGCAAAAAAUAAGAAGAAAGAGGGAAUCUUAGGACAUAACUGCCAGUUAUUAACUGGUCAUUUAAUUUAAGAGUUCAGAUUUUCUUUUGAACGGGGGAAUUGAAUCUCUGGACUAUUGAUGAUGCAGAUGUAUGUCAAAUGGUCAUGGGUUCAAUUAUUGGGACUAUUGUUUUGUUCAUGUAUAAAAUUCAAAUUUAAUAUGAAUUUAUAUAGUUAUAGGCACA
Molecule: long non-coding RNA, 1621 nt
Filed under: Arabidopsis lyrata
Lineage: Eukaryota; Viridiplantae; Streptophyta; Magnoliopsida; Brassicales; Brassicaceae
Description: long non-coding RNA (ALYR_LNC000391)
Source: RNAcentral